Molecule: ribosomal RNA, 253 nt
Filed under: uncultured bacterium
Lineage: Bacteria
Description: partial 16S ribosomal RNA
Rfam family: Bacterial small subunit ribosomal RNA
Source: RNAcentral
UACAGAGGGUGCGAGCGUUAAUCGGAAUCACUGGGCGUAAAGGGUGCGUAGGCGGGUCUUUAAGUCAGGGGGGAAAUCCUGGAGCUCAACUCCAGAACUGCCUUUGAUACUGAAGAUCUUGAGUUCGGGAGAGGUGAGUGGAACUGCGAGUGUAGAGGUGAAAUUCGUAGAUAUUCGCAAGAACACCAGUGGCGAAGGCGGCUCACUGGCCCGAUAUUGACGCUGAGGCACGAAAGCGUGGGGAGCAAACAGG